UCCAGACUCCUACGGGAGGCAGCAGUGAGGAAUAUUGGUCAAUGGGCUUACGCCUGAACCAGCCAAGCCGCGUGAGGGAGGAAGGUACAGAGUAUCGUAAACCCCUUUUGUCAGGGAACAAAGGCGGGGACGUGUCCCCGGAUGAGUGUACCUGAAGAAAAAGCAUCGGCUAACUCCGUGCCAGCAGCCGCGGUAAUACGGAGGAUGCGAGCGUUAUCCGGAUUUAUUGGGUUUAAAGGGUGCGCAGGCGGUCUGUUAAGUCAGCGGUGAAAUGCCCCCGCUCAACGGGGUGAAGUGCCAUUGAUACUGCCUUGCUGGAAUGCGGAUGCCGUGGGAGGAAUGUGUGGUGUAGCGGUGAAAUGCAUAGAUAUCACACAGAACACCGAUUGCGAAGGCAUCUCACGAAUCCGCGAUUGACGCUGAUGCACGAAAGCGUGGGUAUCAAACAGGAUUAGAUACCCGCGUAA
Molecule: ribosomal RNA, 467 nt
Filed under: uncultured bacterium
Lineage: Bacteria
Description: bacterial SSU rRNA
Rfam family: Bacterial small subunit ribosomal RNA
Source: RNAcentral